GAUGAACGCUGGCGGCGUGCCUAAUACAUGCAAGUCGAGCGAACAGAUAAGGAGCUUGCUCCUUUGACGUUAGCGGCGGACGGGUGAGUAACACGUGGGUAACCUACCUAUAAGACUGGAAUAACUCCGGGAAACCGGGGCUAAUGCCGGAUAACAUUUAGAACCGCAUGGUUCUAAAGUGAAAGAUGGUUUUGCUAUCACUUAUAGAUGGACCCGCGCCGUAUUAGCUAGUUGGUAAGGUAACGGCUUACCAAGGCAACGAUACGUAGCCGAACUGAGGGGGGGAUCGGCCACACUGGAACUGGGACACGGUCCAGACUCCUACGGGAGGCAGCAGUAGGGAAUCUUCCGCAGUGGGCGAAAGCCUGACGGAGCAACGCCGCGUGAGUGAUGAAGGUCUUCGGAUCGUAAAACUCUGUUAUUAGGGAAGAACAAAUGUGUAAGUAACUGUGCACGUCUUGACGGUACCUAAUCAGAAAGCCACGGCUAACUACGUG
Molecule: ribosomal RNA, 497 nt
Filed under: uncultured bacterium
Lineage: Bacteria
Description: partial 16S ribosomal RNA
Rfam family: Bacterial small subunit ribosomal RNA
Source: RNAcentral